Non-coding RNA from Podarcis lilfordi (Lilford's wall lizard), 621 nucleotides. Lineage: Eukaryota; Metazoa; Chordata; Lepidosauria; Squamata; Lacertidae. The record is from the annotation of a GenBank genome assembly.
GAGCUGCUCCCCACGCUAUGGAGAAUGACUCAGUCAUGAAAGAGGGAAGGGUAAUGAGCCAUAGUGACCACAUUAUCUCUUGUGUUGCAGAAGAUAAAGCAAAGCAAUAGAAAGAAAAUUCUUCUCCAGAAAUAGAGACAAACUGAUGACAAAAGAAGCAGCUCUAAAACACCAGGGAGAGGAAAGCUUCCAGCAGGGAAGAGUUUCCUGGCAACUAAUUGUUUUCCUUUGAUUCACACAGCUGCCACUUGCGAUUGUCUGCCCAUGCCAAAGAGGCAAUAGAAAGCUUGCUCUGAAUUAACUCAAGAAUUAAUGUUCUUCAAAGAUCGUAGCUGACUACUCAUAAAAUGAUUCAUUCUACAAAACACUCGACCAAGUAUCAACAAAAAGUGUACAGUAUAUGGAGAACUCUUUCCGCAGGAAUUCACAACCAAGGAACUUGGCAGCAGGUGAUGCCAAAACUAUUUUCAACUAAAUACCUCACCAAAGAAUCCAGAGUAAGCUAAGCACAGUCAAGGAAUAAGAGGAUACAUCCAUUUGUGGAUCAGGAAUUGGUUAAGUGGCAGGAAGCAGAGAGUAGGAAUAAAUUGACAAAUUUGAUUAUUGUGUGAUAAAAAAACC